RNAcentral lists this ribosomal RNA (253 nucleotides) under uncultured bacterium. Its description in RNAcentral is "partial 16S ribosomal RNA". It matches the Rfam family "Bacterial small subunit ribosomal RNA", at positions 524 to 776 of the family's 1533-position model. The record is from RNAcentral.
GACGAAGGGGGCUAGCGUUGUUCGGAAUUACCGGGCGUAAAGCGCGCGUAGGCGGACCUGCAAGUCGGGGGUGAAAGCCCGAGGCUCAACCUCGGAACUGCCUUCGAUACUGCGGGUCUCGAGUCCGGGAGAGGUGAGUGGAAUUCCUAGUGUAGAGGUGAAAUUCGUAGAUAUUAGGAAGAACACCAGUGGCGAAGGCGGCUCACUGGCCCGGUACUGACGCUGAGACGCGAAAGCGUGGGGAGCGAACCGG